CUUGGCAGAAUUCUCCAGCUGUUAUGAUGGAUGUUUUAUGUACAUGAAGUAGAGGUCAUUCCUGAUCCAGCUUACACAGACCUUCCAUGUUCCCUGUCUACAGACCAUGAGCUCCCUCAGGUUCAAGGCAGCAAGACUCACGAUCCUGUUCACAGAAUGUGCCUGUUUUGCAGUCAUGGAGACACCCAGCCAGGUGAGGUUUGUGGCACUGAAAGCUUUGUGUUUGAAGAAUUAAGGAAUCAAAAUCAACUUGAAGCUUGUUUGAUUGCAGCAGGCCAAGAUGAUUUUCAGUCUAAGUCUCAAGGUGGAAAUCUUUCCGGCUGUGCUGAUGACAAACGUCUCACUCUAGGCU
Molecule: long non-coding RNA, 352 nt
Organism: Coturnix japonica (Japanese quail)
Lineage: Eukaryota; Metazoa; Chordata; Aves; Galliformes; Phasianidae
Source: Ensembl